Molecule: ribosomal RNA, 1373 nt
Filed under: Thermococcus sp. HJ21
Lineage: Archaea; Methanobacteriati; Methanobacteriota; Thermococci; Thermococcales; Thermococcaceae
Description: bacterial SSU rRNA
Rfam family: Archaeal small subunit ribosomal RNA
Source: RNAcentral
UGCGAGUCAUGGGGCGCGCUCUGCGCGCACCGGCGGACGGCUCAGUAACACGUCGGUAACCUACCCUCGGGAGGGGGAUAACCCCGGGAAACUGGGGCUAAUCCCCCAUAGGCCUGAGGUACUGGAAGGUCCUCAGGCCGAAAGGGGCUUUCGCCCGCCCGAGGAUGGGCCGGCGGCCGAUUAGGUAGUUGGUGGGGUAACGGCCCACCAAGCCGAAGAUCGGUACGGGCCAUGAGAGUGGGAGCCCGGAGAUGGACACUGAGACACGGGUCCAGGCCCUACGGGGCGCAGCAGGCGCGAAACCUCCGCAAUGCGGGAAACCGCGACGGGGGGACCCCCAGUGCCGUGGCAUCGCCACGGCUUUUCCGGAGUGUAAAGAGCUCCGGGAAUAAGGGCUGGGCAAGGCCGGUGGCAGCCGCCGCGGUAAUACCGGCGGCCCGAGUGGUGGCUGCUAUUAUUGGGCCUAAAGCGUCCGUAGCCGGGCCCGUAAGUCCCUGGCGAAAUCCCACGGCUCAACCGUGGGGCUUGCUGGGGAUACUGCGGGCCUUGGGACCGGGAGAGGCCGGGGGUACUCCUGGGGUAGGGGUGAAAUCCUAUAAUCCCAGGAGGACCGCCAGUGGCGAAGGCGCCCGGCUGGAACGGGUCCGACGGUGAGGGACGAAGGCCAGGGGAGCGAACCGGAUUAGAUACCCGGGUAGUCCUGGCUGUAAAGGAUGCGGGCUAGGUGUCGGGCGAGCUUCGAGCUCGCCCGGUGCCGAAGGGAAGCCGUUAAGCCCGCCGCCUGGGGAGUACGGCCGCAAGGCUGAAACUUAAAGGAAUUGGCGGGGGAGCACUACAAGGGGUGGAGCGUGCGGUUUAAUUGGAUUCAACGCCGGGAACCUCACCGGGGGCGACGGCAGGAUGAAGGCCAGGCUGAAGGUCUUGCCGGACACGCCGAGAGGAGGUGCAUGGCCGCCGUCAGCUCGUACCGUGAGGCGUCCACUUAAGUGUGGUAACGAGCGAGACCCGCGCCCCCAGUUGCCAGUCCUCCCCGCUGGGGAGGAGGCACUCUGGGGGGACCGCCGGCGAUAAGCCGGAGGAAGGAGCGGGCGACGGUAGGUCAGUAUGCCCCGAAACCCCCGGGCUACACGCGCGCUACAAUGGGCGGGACAAUGGGAUCCGACCCCGAAAGGGGAAGGGAAUCCCCUAAACCCGCCCCCAGUUCGGAUCGCGGGCUGCAACUCGCCCGCGUGAAGCUGGAAUCCCUAGUACCCGCGUGUCAUCAUCGCGCGGCGAAUACGUCCCUGCUCCUUGCACACACCGCCCGUCACUCCACCCGAGCGGGGUCUGGGUGAGGCCUGGUCUCCCUUCGGGGAGGCCGGGUCGAGCCUGGG